Molecule: long non-coding RNA, 1079 nt
Organism: Oreochromis aureus
Lineage: Eukaryota; Metazoa; Chordata; Actinopteri; Cichliformes; Cichlidae
Exons: 3
Source: RefSeq, a predicted model, not a curated record
AGUGGUAAUGUGUAGUGUGUGUUGCUGUGCUGUGUAAAGCAAACAACAUUCAAAUAAGCCCGAAUGACCUGAAAGACUGAGAGAGGCCAAAUACAGCCUCAACAUUACUCUAAAUAAAACUCCCCCAAUCCAAGUAGCCCCCAAACCUGGACGUGGACACAGAGGCCUGAGGGCCAUCUCACACAUUUAUUCAGAAUAAAACAGGUUUUUGUGUUUGUGUACUCGAGGAUGUCAACAUAACAUGUUCAAGUACCCAGUAAACAUCAGUGCAGACAGCUGUUCAUAAAAAUGUCAUAAAAACAUGCUUAAACUACUUAAACCAGCCACUGUGACCAUUGCUGCAGAGCAGAAUGAACAAUACUGAUGGGGACUAUGAGGGUUUGUAGUUUAAUUCCUGCUCUUGCAGGAUCAGUGAGUGUCUGUUUAAAGAUAAACCUCAUUAACAAACUUAAACCUCUGCUCCCCACGACAUCACCAACAUUUCUGCAGGACAGAACCCCCUGAUUUAAUCUACCAUAAUGCUCUCUGUUCUGUUGUCAUGGCAACAUGAAGUCAAAAAAUACAAAUACAAAAAUGCAAAAGAACAGGAGGACAACAAGACAGGCAGCUGGAAGAGCUUUUGAAGCAGAAAAACUUUUCUGGAUUUAUCUUAACUUAACUGGAAAUUUUGCAAAACAAGUCAAGCUGGAAACAAGGAGGCAGCUGGUUGGAUUAUAUCUGAGGACAGGACGCAUGAAGGAGAAGCAUGAGGAGAGAGAAAACAGCAGAGAGAUGGUGUGGAGCUAAUCGUGGAUCAAGUCGAAGAAGCAAGCACCAAAACUGGGAUGCCCCUCCUCCUUCCUGUCGUUCAGUCACUUGUCAACAACCAGCUGAUUGCUCCCCUGCUCCUCAUGAAGUCUUCAUGCUGGCUUCUCAACAACCACAUCAUUGCAUCACCAAGACCUUUCAGCUUUUUCGGAUCCCUGCAAUCUUCUGUGACAGUGUCUGAGUGUGCCUUCAGACAGCCUGCAGUACCUCUGCCCGUCUCCUGGAGCCCACAGUGUUUAUCCUGUAUUCAUAACUAUCUGCAAAUAAACCUG